RNAcentral lists this transfer RNA (76 nucleotides) under compost metagenome. RNAcentral's name for it is "tRNA-Cys". The record is from RNAcentral.
UGCUUUUUGAGAAAGUUCUUCGUCUUUUAUGUUACAGUCAUAUAAAAAACGUAGUGCAAAUUCCAUGAAAAGUGGC